UCAACGCCAUCUGGUAGCCUGGUACU
RNAcentral lists this non-coding RNA (26 nucleotides) under Homo sapiens (human). Lineage: Eukaryota; Metazoa; Chordata; Mammalia; Primates; Hominidae. The record is from RNAcentral.